This 508-nucleotide ribosomal RNA is filed under the name uncultured bacterium. Its description in RNAcentral is "partial 16S ribosomal RNA". It matches the Rfam family "Bacterial small subunit ribosomal RNA", at positions 28 to 507 of the family's 1533-position model. The record is from RNAcentral.
GACGAACGCUGGCGGCGUGCCUAAUACAUGCAAGUCGAACGCUUCUUUCCUCCCGAGUGCUUGCGCUCAAUUGGAAAGAGGAGUGGCGGACGGGUGAGUAACACGUGGGUAACCUACCCAUCAGAGGGGGAUGACACUUGGAAACAGGUGCUAAUACCGCAUAACAGUUUAUGCCGCAUGGCAUAAGAGUGAAAGGCGCUUUCGGGUGUCGCUGAUGGAUGGACCCGCGGUGCAUUAGCUAGUUGGUGAGGUAACGGCUCACCAAGGCCACGAUGCAUAGCCGACCUGGGAGGGUGAUCGGCCACACUGGGACUGAGACACGGCCCAGACUCCUACGGGAGGCAGCAGUAGGGAAUCUUCGGCAAUGGACGAAAGUCUGACCGAGCAACGCCGCGUGAGUGAAGAAGGUUUUCGGAUCGUAAAACUCUGUUGUUAGAGAAGAACAAGGACGUUAGUAACUGAACGUCCCCUGACGGUAUCUAACCAGAAAGCCACGGCUAACUACGUG